UGGGGAAUAUUGCACAAUGGGCGCAAGCCUGAUGCAGCCAUGCCGCGUGUGUGAAGAAGGCCUUCGGGUUGUAAAGCACUUUCAGCGAGGAGGAAGGGUUCAGUGUUAAUAGCACUGUUCAUUGACGUUACUCGCAGAAGAAGCACCGGCUAACUCCGUGCCAGCAGCCGCGGUAAUACGGAGGGUGCAAGCGUUAAUCGGAAUUACUGGGCGUAAAGCGCACGCAGGCGGUUUGUUAAGUCAGAUGUGAAAUCCCCGCGCUUAACGUGG
Molecule: ribosomal RNA, 270 nt
Filed under: uncultured bacterium
Lineage: Bacteria
Description: partial 16S ribosomal RNA
Rfam family: Bacterial small subunit ribosomal RNA
Source: RNAcentral